UUCUACAACGAAUCAAAAGUUGUGAAGUAAUCUGUACUGAUAAAAAAUUCACAUAACAACUCUCUUCCAAAUUAUUUAAAUUUGGCUCUGGCUCUACCCAUGAAUAGGGUUUAAGAAACAUACUAUGAACAUUGUUUUUCAUUUUCGAAAAGGUUUGGCAGAUAUCCAUCAGCAAACCGUUCUAGCUUACGGGUACGGAGGGUGAUAAGCCCCGUUGUACCCUGUAUUGAUCAAUACUACAUAACUUGAACGAAAUUCAUCGCUCACUCUAUUCGCCUUGGGCGCAAAAAUCUUCCCAUAUAGGGAUGUUCAUACAUGCCUGGUUCCAAACCCGAAGGUUUUUAAUCUUGCUCAAUAAUAAUAUGUAAUUUAAUAUAUAUAUAUAUAUACGGGUAAUUGACAAAAGUGUAUCAACAUGUGAAUAAAUGCCAUGAUUAUCCAAGUGGGGACACUUGUAUAACCAUUUAGAAAUCAACUUAACAGAAUAUAUAUCUGAGUUAACAUGUUGAUAAUCAAAGCGUACAUAAUCUGUACAGGAAUAGAAUAAUUCUGAAACUUCUUACUCAUGUCCAUUGCAUAAAGGAAAUGCAAAGGUAAGAUACUUGCCUGAUUUGCUAAUUACAAAUCUCAACUUAGGUUUUAUCUCUUUAUCACAACCUAU
RNAcentral lists this long non-coding RNA (661 nucleotides) under Panax ginseng (ginseng). Its description in RNAcentral is "long non-coding RNA (PGIN_LNC006478)". Lineage: Eukaryota; Viridiplantae; Streptophyta; Magnoliopsida; Apiales; Araliaceae. The record is from RNAcentral.